Molecule: transfer RNA, 71 nt
Filed under: Marmota monax (woodchuck)
Lineage: Eukaryota; Metazoa; Chordata; Mammalia; Rodentia; Sciuridae
Description: tRNA.Ala
Rfam family: tRNA
About the family: Transfer RNA (tRNA) molecules are approximately 80 nucleotides in length. Their secondary structure includes four short double-helical elements and three loops (D, anti-codon, and T loops). Further hydrogen bonds mediate the characteristic L-shaped molecular structure. tRNAs have two regions of fundamental functional importance: the anti-codon, which is responsible for specific mRNA codon recognition, and the 3' end, to which the tRNAs corresponding amino acid is attached (by aminoacyl-tRNA synthetases). tRNAs cope with the degeneracy of the genetic code in two manners: having more than one tRNA (with a specific anti-codon) for a particular amino acid; and 'wobble' base-pairing, i.e. permitting non-standard base-pairing at the 3rd anti-codon position.
Source: RNAcentral
GGGGUUGUGGCUCAGUGGUAGAGUGCUUGCCUAGCAUACAUGAGGCACUGGGUUUGAUCCUCAGCACCACA